RNAcentral lists this transfer RNA (73 nucleotides) under Amycolatopsis sp. M39. RNAcentral's name for it is "tRNA-Val". The record is from RNAcentral. Lineage: Bacteria; Bacillati; Actinomycetota; Actinomycetes; Pseudonocardiales; Pseudonocardiaceae.
GUGUCGUGGCCGAGGCGAGGAAGGCGUUGCUGUUCACGUCGGCGAGCUCGCCGUUCGGGUCGACCAGGACGCC